AACGAACGCUGGCGGCAUGCCUAACACAUGCAAGUCGAACGAGACCUUCGGGUCUAGUGGCGCACGGGUGCGUAACGCGUGGGAACCUUCCCUUAGGUUCGGAAUAACUCCCCGAAAGGGGUGCUAAUACCGGAUAAUGUCUUCGGACCAAAGAUUUAUCGCCUUUGGAUGGGCCCGCGUUGGAUUAGCUAGUUGGUAGGGUAAAAGCCUACCAAGGCGACGAUCCAUAGCUGGUCUGAGAGGAUGAUCAGCCACACUGGGACUGAGACACGGCCCAGACUCCUACGGGGGGCAGCAGUGGGGAAUAUUGGACAAUGGGCGAAAGCCUGAUCCAGCAAUGCCGCGUGAGUGAUGAAGGCCUUAGGGUUGUAAAGCUCUUUUACCCGGGAUGAUAAUGACAGUACCGGGAGAAUAAGCUCCGGCUAACUCCGUG
RNAcentral lists this ribosomal RNA (433 nucleotides) under uncultured bacterium. RNAcentral's name for it is "partial 16S ribosomal RNA". It matches the Rfam family "Bacterial small subunit ribosomal RNA", at positions 29 to 507 of the family's 1533-position model. The record is from RNAcentral.